Long non-coding RNA from Corapipo altera (White-ruffed manakin), 1703 nucleotides. RefSeq lists it as uncharacterized. The transcript has 3 exons. The record is from RefSeq and is a predicted model, not a curated record. Lineage: Eukaryota; Metazoa; Chordata; Aves; Passeriformes; Pipridae.
AAAUAGUGUGAACACCGAGACAAGAUUUAAAUGUUGGAUUUUUGCACAUGGACUUGUUCAGAACAACUGAGAUAGCUUGUAUUUUAACUUGUAUGCUAAAUGUAGCUAAACAUAGAUAAGCAGAAAUAUACCACAGUUUCCAAGCCUCGAAAGCAAUGAAACAAACAAACAAGGGGGAAAAAACGCAAGAACUGUUUAGAUUUAUCAGCGGCUAGGCUGAAUAUAAGGAAAUGAUUAAGAAAUAGCUGGCAAUGGUUACGUCCUGAGCAAAAUCUGGAGUAAAAAUUAAGAGUGCAAGAGUCUCACUCUCUGAAAGCUUUUGGGUGCUGCAUAAGUCACAUCUACUAUAUCAAAUGGACACAGCUCAAUUCCUAGACUGUAAGAUGCAAAAGGCUUGUUGGGGUAAUUUAGUUUGCUUUCUGUGCACCUGCAGUCGGAAAUUUUCUCCAGAGAAGCACAGAAUUACAGGAAGAAGUGGAUUUGGAGCAGAGAGUGCUUGUGGCUGUAGAAGGUGUUGAGAGCUGUUGUAAGCACUCCCAAAGUUUAACCAGGAUGAACCACCUCAGUGUCACAGUUUCUUUUCACAGGACAAGUGCUCCAGAGCCCUGAGCAUCCUGCAGACCCUCUGCUGAACUCACACCAAAAUCGAUGCAGUACUCUGGAUACAAUCUAUUGAGUACUGAGAUGACGGGAAUAAUCAUGUCCAUCAACCUACUGGUUGUACUUCUGUUCAUACAGCCUAGGAUGUUUUUGGCCCUUCUGCUGGCAGGGCUCAGCUCACUGACCAUCAGGACCCUGAGAACCUUUUCUGCAGGGCUUCUCCCUAGUCAGUGUCCACCCAGCCUGGAUUGCUGUGAGAACUGAGUAUGUUUGUACAUAAUUAGUUAUCCUUUUGUGCCUUUAAGAUGGCAGUCUAUGGCAAAACUUAUUCUUUUUUACCUUUUUUAUUUUUUUUUUCCUAGAAUAGCUAAUCUUAGAUUUGGCCUAUUUGUUUUUGGGGUUUUUUUUGUUGUUGUUUUUUUUUUUUUGCAUAUUCAUCGACUUUGGGCUAAUCUCAAAAUAAAUAAAACAAUGUUCUAAUUAUUGAAGAUACUGAUGCCUUUUCUGGUUGCUUUUCUCACAGUAUCACAUGCUCAGGUCCUCUUUAAAAGGAAACUCUGAGGGGCUUUCAAGUUUGUGUCAUUAUCUUGAGUAUUUUUACUUGGCACUGUUGGCUUGGGAAACACUACACUGUGUGUGAGCAGUUUGUAGGAACAUGAAAACUCAAAUCCAGCAAUUAAAUAAUGAGAACUGAAAGUACCAGGUGAGGAUUGCUGCAAUGCCCUGGAUGGAAAGGAUGUGAUCUGGAAGAACUCAGUUCCUGUUCGUACUUUUCCUGCCUUUUGGGAGCUGUUGUGUGUGUGGCUUACUACAAUUAGCAUUCAUUUCUUUGGAGGGGAAAUAGGGCUCUUAUGUUCAAAACUAUAGCCUGGUAGGGGGAAUUGCCUUCCUUUGGUGUUAACUGCUCUCUGCAAUGCUUGCGCUGCUAGAAGACUUUUUUGGGAAGGUCGAAGCACCUUUCCAUGCAAAUCAGUUUGGAGCAGACAAGUGCACCCUCUGUAUGCAGACUAUAUUUAAGGUGAAUGCAGUCUAUAUUUAAGGUGAAUCUGAGUUAAUUGUAGAUAUCUUGCAAAUGUGAUAACCAAAAAAUGCAAGAAGAAAGC